This 710-nucleotide ribosomal RNA is filed under the name uncultured Rhizobium sp. RNAcentral's name for it is "bacterial SSU rRNA". It matches the Rfam family "Bacterial small subunit ribosomal RNA", at positions 8 to 762 of the family's 1533-position model. Lineage: Bacteria; Pseudomonadati; Pseudomonadota; Alphaproteobacteria; Hyphomicrobiales; Rhizobiaceae. The record is from RNAcentral.
AGAGUUUGAUCCUGGNUCAGNCCCCUNAANGGGCGGCAGGCCUAACACAUGCAAGUCGAACGGCCUCCUUNGGGAUUAGUGGCGGACGGGUGAGUAACACGUGGGAACGUGCCUUUUGGUUCGGAACAACUCAGGGAAACUUGAGCUAAUACCGGAUGUGCCCUUCGGGGGAAAGAUUUAUCGCCAUUAGAGCGGCCCGCGUCUGAUUAGCUUGUUGGUGAGGUAAAGGCUCACCAAGGCGACGAUCAGUAGCUGGUCUGAGAGGAUGAUCAGCCACAUUGGGACUGAGACACGGCCCAAACUCCUACGGGAGGCAGCAGUGGGGAAUCUUGCGCAAUGGGCGAAAGCCUGACGCAGCCAUGCCGCGUGAAUGAUGAAGGUCUUAGGAUUGUAAAAUUCUUUCACCGGGGACGAUAAUGACGGUACCCGGAGAAGAAGCCCCGGCUAACUUCGUGCCAGCAGCCGCGGUAAUACGAAGGGGGCUAGCGUUGCUCGGAAUUACUGGGCGUAAAGGGAGCGUAGGCGGACAGUUUAGUCAGAGGUGAAAGCCCAGGGCUCAACCUUGGAAUUGCCUUUGAUACUGACUGUCUUGAGUAUGGGAGAGGUUAGCGGAACUCCGAGUGUAGAGGUGAAAUUCGUAGAUAUUCGGAAGAACACCAGUGGCGAAGGCGGCUAACUGGCCCAUUACUGACGCUGAGGCUCGAAAGCGU